GCCAGGUGUGGUGCCCACGCCCGUAACCCCGGCGACUUGGGAGGCUGAGGCAGGAGGAUCUCAAGGCCCAGGCCAGCCUGAGCAACUUAGGGAGACCUUGUCUCAA
This 106-nucleotide small RNA is filed under the name Marmota monax (woodchuck). Lineage: Eukaryota; Metazoa; Chordata; Mammalia; Rodentia; Sciuridae. The record is from RNAcentral.